This 897-nucleotide long non-coding RNA is filed under the name Coturnix japonica (Japanese quail). RNAcentral describes it as "lncRNA (ENSCJPG00005014613.1)". The record is from RNAcentral. Lineage: Eukaryota; Metazoa; Chordata; Aves; Galliformes; Phasianidae.
GGAAGGCAGAAAGUGAUAAACUUACUGAUUUUGUGUUUCUUCUACUUCCUUAUUGCUUCUGCCCUGACCCAUUUAACUUCUGCCAUUGUUUCCCACUGACGGUGUGCUACGUCAGAGGCUGCAGCUGGCUGCCUAUGGGACAGCAUUCAGUUUGGCGCGUUCCAAGGCAGAUGACCCUGGUUUACAGUUGCUCGUAUCAAAGACACUGCAUGCUACAGACAGAGCAGACUGCAGCCAACAGAGUGCUUCUCAGAUACUGAUGGAGAGCGAAAAUGCAAAAGAAUAACUGCAGCAUCUAAAGGGCAAUUUUCCAAGUACAGGAGAAGAGGCAAACUGCAAGGAGAGGAGCCUUCGUGAGUAAAAAUUAAAGAAUGAUUGUGCUUUAUUGAGGAAAGUGACUAAGACUUUAUGUAAUGACUUUGCUGGUGAAUUACUAUAAAGUGUGUGAGAACUGCAACAAGGUCAUACUCGGCAGGGAGCUGACUCCCUGUUAGACCCACUUCCAAAUGAAACAGUGUUUUCUGCUUCCAGAAGUGCCAGAGCUGAGCUGAGCAGUGGCAGCAGUGCACGUACCCAAGGUGUGAUGGGGCAGUGCCAUGGCAAAGCCAGGCUCUGAGCAGGAAGCACACUGCUACAGUUCUUAGACAAUACAAUCAAGGAGGGAAUAUAUUUAUAUUGGGAUCAGUUAACGAUGCAAUUAGCUAACUAAUCAGAUGGGCACAUUUUUCACGCACUUUCUAGCAUAGAAGGAAAGAUGGGGUACUAUGUCAAAAGGCUGUGGUUACAUCACAGGGACCAAUAACAAAUUUAUGAACUUCUUUGCGUCAUAAUUAAUCUAUCUGUAUCAGAUGACUGAUUGCUCAUUUUGAUAUGUGUAUGUUCAGUAAAGGGCAUGCA